RNAcentral lists this ribosomal RNA (574 nucleotides) under uncultured Sulfitobacter sp. RNAcentral's name for it is "bacterial SSU rRNA". It matches the Rfam family "Bacterial small subunit ribosomal RNA", at positions 355 to 947 of the family's 1533-position model. The record is from RNAcentral. Lineage: Bacteria; Pseudomonadati; Pseudomonadota; Alphaproteobacteria; Rhodobacterales; Roseobacteraceae.
UGGGGAAUCUUGGACAAUGGGCGCAAGCCUGAUCCAGCCAUGCCGCGUGAGUGAUGAAGGCCUUAGGGUCGUAAAGCUCUUUCGCCAGGGAUGAUAAUGACAGUACCUGGUAAAGAAACCCCGGCUAACUCCGUGCCAGCAGCCGCGGUAAUACGGAGGGGGUUAGCGUUGUUCGGAAUUACUGGGCGUAAAGCGUACGUAGGCGGAUCAGAAAGUAAGGGGUGAAAUCCCAGGGCUCAACCCUGGAACUGCCUCUUAAACUCCUGGUCUAGAGUUCGAGAGAGGUGAGUGGAAUUCCAAGUGUAGAGGUGAAAUUCGUAGAUAUUUGGAGGAACACCAGUGGCGAAGGCGGCUCACUGGCUCGAUACUGACGCUGAGGUACGAAAGUGUGGGGAGCAAACAGGAUUAGAUACCCUGGUAGUCCACACCGUAAACGAUGAAUGCCAGACGUCGGGCAGUAUACUGUUCGGUGUCACACCUAACGGAUUAAGCAUUCCGCCUGGGGAGUACGGUCGCAAGAUUAAAACUCAAAGGAAUUGACGGGGGCCCGCACAAGCGGUGGAGCAUGUGGUUU